Long non-coding RNA from Dermacentor andersoni, 655 nucleotides. RefSeq lists it as uncharacterized. The record is from RefSeq and is a predicted model, not a curated record. NCBI's taxonomy places the organism in Eukaryota, Metazoa, Arthropoda, Arachnida, Ixodida, Ixodidae.
GCAGCAGCAAAGGCCAGCCAAGGGACAUCGUAUGUCAGCUAUCUCGCGUCGCCACGAAAACACGACAGUCGUUCGUCAUGCCUUGGAUAUAACAGCAAAUCCUCCACGGCACCCGCUUUAUAUAACGCAAGAAGGCAGCUGCAAGGACACGAGGAUGUGAAAGAGCCAAUGCAGCGCGACUUCACGUAGUGCAGAGGAGCCAAUGCCAAAAAAUCAAAAUACAUUGGCAUGUUAUUUGGACAAGAAAACUAGGACAACCCAGGACAUGCAUUUCUCAGCACCCAGUCAACUGCCAAAAGUGACUCAAACACAGGCCACCAGUAAGUGGACAUCAGUUGCAAUUUCACAUUAUGCAGUUGGCGGCUGCCUUGUACGGAGGCUUUUUUUUUUAAUGAGAUGGUGAUGUCGUUCUAAAGUACAUUUUGACUACAAAGGUGCGAUCAUGUCUCACAGAGGCAUAUAUGGUUGCUAUUUUCUGCGAGGGACGUGUUCUCGUGUUCGUGAAGCAUUUGUGUUUGGCAGUAUUGUCGCCCAAUGAGUCGGAUAUAAACACUAACUCGCCACUGCCGGCAAGUAGUUGCGAGAAACGCAUUAUGACGCUGUAAAGUUAUUUCAUUAAUUCGAAGGAAAGUUUUGUAGCAGGAAAAAAGGUUGC